This is a long non-coding RNA of Melanaphis sacchari, 129 nucleotides long. RefSeq lists it as uncharacterized. The record is from RefSeq and is a predicted model, not a curated record. Lineage: Eukaryota; Metazoa; Arthropoda; Insecta; Hemiptera; Aphididae. The transcript is spliced from 3 exons.
AAGAAAUUUUAGACGGGUAUACUGUUGAUAGAUACACUAAUAUCAUACAAUCUUUUUUACUAAUAGUUUUGUCCAUAUAUCACCUUCACAGAUGAUGAUUUUAAUCAUUUCCUUGACGACAUAAGUAAG